This 765-nucleotide ribosomal RNA is filed under the name uncultured bacterium. RNAcentral describes it as "bacterial SSU rRNA". It matches the Rfam family "Bacterial small subunit ribosomal RNA", at positions 59 to 834 of the family's 1533-position model. The record is from RNAcentral.
AAGCACUUUUUUAGAACUCUUCGGAGGGAAGAGAGGGUGACUUAGCGGCGGACGGGUGAGUAACGCGUGGGCAACCUGCCUUACACAGGGGGAUAACAAUUAGAAAUGAUUGCUAAUACCGCAUAAGACCCCAGUACCGCAUGGUACAGGGGUAAAAACUGAGGUGGUGUAAGAUGGGCCCGCGUCUGAUUAGGUAGUUGGUGGGGUAGAAGCCUACCAAGCCGACGAUCAGUAGCCGACCUGAGAGGGCGACCGGCCACAUUGGGACUGAGACACGGCCCAAACUCCUACGGGAGGCAGCAGUGGGGAAUAUUGCACAAUGGGGGAAACCCUGAUGCAGCGACGCCGCGUGAGUGAGGAAGCAUUUCGGUAUGCAAAGCUCUAUCAGCAGGGAAGAAAAUGACGGUACCUGACUAAGAAGCCCCGGCUAACUACGUGCCAGCAGCCGCGGUAAUACGUAGGGGGCAAGCGUUAUCCGGAUUUACUGGGUGUAAAGGGAGCGUAGACGGAAUUGCAAGUCUGAUGUGAAAAUCCGGGGCCCAACCCCGGAACUGCAUUGGAAACUGUAUUUCUAGAGUGUCGGAGAGGCAAGUGGAAUUCCUGGUGUAGCGGUGAAAUGCGUAGAUAUCAAGAGGAACACCAGUGGCGAAGGCGGCCUGCUGGACGAUGACUGACGUUGAGGCUCGAAAGCGUGGGGAGCAAACAGGAUUAGAUACCCUGGUAGUCCACGCCGUAAACGAUGACUACUAGGUGUCGGGUGGCAAA